Molecule: long non-coding RNA, 238 nt
Filed under: Theobroma cacao (cacao)
Lineage: Eukaryota; Viridiplantae; Streptophyta; Magnoliopsida; Malvales; Malvaceae
Description: long non-coding RNA (TCAC_LNC005097)
Source: RNAcentral
CAGUAUAUACUUUCUCAACAUGUGGGGAAAAUAAAAAAAGCUAAUCUGGGGCGAUGAUGUGCUGCGCUGAGACUGGCAGCAGAUGAUACACGUGAUCCAGGAAAAUCUAUAGCUUUUCCUUUUCAACUCACAUACGAAAAUUGUACCAUCAUACGUUUAGACACAUACGAUUUAUCAGUUUAGUGGCUUCCACAAGCAAAGGAAUGCAACCUGAAUCUCUCAACAUCUUUGAUUUCUU